GGAGGGCUCGCAUAGUGGCCUAGUGCGGCGGUCUUGAAAACCGCUGUGGGGUUAAACCCACCGAGAGUUCGAAUCUCUCGCCCUCCG
Molecule: transfer RNA, 87 nt
Filed under: Dermatophilaceae bacterium
Lineage: Bacteria; Bacillati; Actinomycetota; Actinomycetes; Micrococcales; Dermatophilaceae
Also listed under: 1 other name
Description: tRNA-Ser
Rfam family: tRNA
About the family: Transfer RNA (tRNA) molecules are approximately 80 nucleotides in length. Their secondary structure includes four short double-helical elements and three loops (D, anti-codon, and T loops). Further hydrogen bonds mediate the characteristic L-shaped molecular structure. tRNAs have two regions of fundamental functional importance: the anti-codon, which is responsible for specific mRNA codon recognition, and the 3' end, to which the tRNAs corresponding amino acid is attached (by aminoacyl-tRNA synthetases). tRNAs cope with the degeneracy of the genetic code in two manners: having more than one tRNA (with a specific anti-codon) for a particular amino acid; and 'wobble' base-pairing, i.e. permitting non-standard base-pairing at the 3rd anti-codon position.
Source: RNAcentral